This 201-nucleotide ribosomal RNA is filed under the name uncultured bacterium. RNAcentral's name for it is "partial 16S ribosomal RNA". It matches the Rfam family "Bacterial small subunit ribosomal RNA", at positions 334 to 526 of the family's 1533-position model. The record is from RNAcentral.
AUAUCCUACGGGAGGCAGCAGUGGGGAAUAUUGCACAAUGGGCGCAAGCCUGAUGCAGCCAUGCCGCGUGUAUGAAGAAGGCCUUCGGGUUGUAAAGUACUUUCAGCGGGGAGGAAGGUGUUGUGGUUAAUAACCGCAGCAAUUGACGUUACCCGCAGAAGAAGCACCGGCUAACUCCGUGCCAGCAGCCGCGGUAAUAAU